Ctenopharyngodon idella (grass carp) is the source of this 1427-nucleotide long non-coding RNA. RefSeq lists it as uncharacterized. The transcript has 7 exons. Lineage: Eukaryota; Metazoa; Chordata; Actinopteri; Cypriniformes; Xenocyprididae. The record is from RefSeq and is a predicted model, not a curated record.
GAUAAUUUAGUUUGUAUGACGUAAAAUAAGAUGGCCGCGCAGUGGUGUUUAUCUUAUUGAUGUUCACGUACUGAUCAUAGAAAUGAAAAAGAGGCAUUUAUAUUCACCGUAGUUUAUUUUAAGCACGGAUUAUAUUCAUAUCGUGCUAUUCUUCUGAUUUUUCUGAUUUUUGUUGAGGGCGGAAAGACCGCAUUUUGAGGAUAGUUUAACAUAAACAUGUCUACCAAAGUGGACAGUAUGGAGAGAAGUGAGUCAAGUGCAAAAAACAGAAGAAGGUCUCACAGCAGUGGAAGAGAGAACCGGAAGCGGGCAAGGAGCCGAAGCAGAUCAUCCUCAUCAUCUUCCAGUUCUUCAUCUUCCUCCUCGUCCUCAUCAUCCUCUUCUUCACGUUCUUCAUCCAGCAGUUCAUCAUCACAUAGUAACUCCAGCUCCAGUAACUCAGAUUCUUGUAAAAAGCAAAGAAAAUCUUCAAAGAAAAGGAAAGAGAGACAUGGCAAAAAGAAAGGAAAAAAAGAGAAGAUACGCAAGCGAAAGAAGGAAAAGGGACACAAAGGGCAGGACGACAGCUCUGGACCUGUUCAAAUUUCAAAGUAUCUUAAGGAAAAGAAGAAAAGUGGCAAGUACAGCAUGAUAUCAGGGAAAAAGAUUAAAAUGAAAGUGAAAAAAUCAAAGAAGGACAAGCAGAGGGACAAAAACAGAGCUGAACUGCUGGAGUUCUUAAACUCCACCUUCUGAUUCAGUCCAGACCUGGAACUACAAAACCUUUUUUUUUUUUUUUUGCAUUAUCACCUGACCACCACUCAGGGAAAGACCAUCUUCAACUAUUAAUGUUGUUGCCUGAUGUUAUACAUUGACAAUUCCUUACCAUAAAUUCUUUAUGUAGAUAAUUGUUGUCCAUUUUUUAAUUCCAGGCUGUGUCCUGUAGUACUUAUGUUUUAUGUCUGAUUAACUGUACCCUAUGAGAACUGUAGCUUGGAUGUGACAUUGUUACAUGUUACUGAAAUUGUAAAGAAAAUAAUUAUUCUUGUAUUCUCAUUUUUAAAUGCAAAGCUUAAGUAAAUAACUGAAUCAGUCAAAAGUCAGAGUUGUAAGGAAAUGUUCUGAGAGAUGCAGAAAAUGUUAUGUGAUUAAUAUAUGAACAGUUUGGGCUGAUUCACCAGGGUGAUGAAGGUUGUAUAUUAUGUCUCAAACGGAAGCUUCACCUUUUUUUUUUUAACAAUUCAAAUAUGAAGCAACAUUGUAGUGUUGUUGUUCCAAUAGUGUUUUUCUUGUUAUCCCCUGAUAAUUGGUGUAUGUACUGUGGUGAGCCGAAUGCAAAGGCACCACCAGCAGGUAGUUGAGAACAGCUUCUGAUCUGCCAUUGUGAAUCAUGUGCAUCUGACCAUUCUGAUGACAAUAGGUUAUUGUUAAAUAAAUUGUGUCCUUUA